This 2510-nucleotide long non-coding RNA is filed under the name Homo sapiens (human). Its description in RNAcentral is "HSALNT0016764". The record is from RNAcentral. Lineage: Eukaryota; Metazoa; Chordata; Mammalia; Primates; Hominidae.
CAGGGGACGUGGAUGAAGCUGGAAACCAUCAUCCUCAGCAAACUAACACAGGAACAGAAAACCAAACACCGCAUGUUCUCACUCAUAAGUGGGAGUUGAACCAUAAGAACACAUGGACACAGGGAGGAGAACAUCACACAUCGGGGCCUGUUGCGAGGCGGAGGGAAAGGGAAGGAAAGCAUUAGGACAAAUACCUAAUGCAUGUGGGGCUUAAAACAUAGAUGAUGGGUUGACAGGUGCAGCAAACCACCAUGGCACAUGUAUACCUAUGUAAUAAACCUGCACGUUCAGCACAUGGAUCCCAGAACUUAAAGUAAAAUUUUAAAAAAGGACAUUUUAAUACAAUAUUACACAGAAAUAAAAUCAUUCAUCUAUUACCUAGAUUGUCAAGCAAAAAUUGUGAUAUAUUUGGAUAUAUUGUAUCAAAAUAACAAAUUUUUAGUCCUGAGUUUCAUAUAAGAGAAGAAAUAUUUCAAAGGAUAACCCUUAGUGGAAAAGAUCUUUCUUUUCCCCUGCCGUUGAAAACAUAGUGCUUGAAAGCUAUAGUGUAUCUCAUCUUAUAACAUGGCUAUGAUGAGAAGUUUAAGGUAAUUAUAAUACACAUACAUGUCAGGUUGUCUUUGACCCCCAGGUUUCAACUUUAUUAAAACGGAAACCCAGAUAUUUUCUGAGAAAAAAAUCUGCCUUGUAAUUUGAUGAAUCGACCAUUGUGUGGGUUAAUAAAUAUUCUAGGCUUGAUUUGUGAUAAGUCUUCUUCAUUUUUUGACUUCUGUGAGGUUUGGCCACCACUAAAUCUCACUAGGUUUCUUCUGGGGGAAGUUAGGCCUGCCUUCCUCAGAACCUUCUGCUCUUGUCAGCGAGUCUUCUUCAUUCAGUAUUCAUCCAUGACAUUGUUUAGGAAGGGUCAGUAGUCUGAGACUUUAUCUGUUUGACCCAAGCAAGAGAUUGUCAGAUCAGAAAAAACAGCCACAGCCCCUUGUCACUGCUCUGGUCAUAAGUUUAUAGUUCAGGCUUCUCUUUGCAAAGGAUCAUCAACAUCAACAUGUUGUUUCCAGGGUCAUAAAUUUGCAAUGUGAUGAGACAUAACCAGAUGUUGCCAAACGUGAAUUGACUCAUAAAGCAGCCUCUCUCCUGCUCUGUCUUUCUUCCCAACUCAGAGAAGCUGGUGGUCCAUUUAAUUCUUCAUAUCUAGCUUGGGGGGCUUGAUGGUCCAGAAUGAAGUCAAUCAUUUUCAGUACCAAUUAUAUUUUUCAAGCUGAAUACUGGUGUGGUCAUUAGCACCUACCCCACAGAUAUUUUCUGUGACUUGAACUCCUGAAUAGAAUUUACUGCCAUUCUUGGACAGACUUUUGUUUUAUCUUUUAGUUGUUGCAAUGGUGGCUGUUGUUAUGCUGGUGUUCUUUGUAUACAGCGAUGGGAGAAAAUGACAUGUCAAUCUACAGUCCUUGCUCCCACCCAACAUGUAUGGCUUGAUUUUACAUGAUUCCAAUUAUUUCAAAUGUGUUAGGACUUGUUUUAAUGCCCUAAGAUACAGUAAAUUUCAAUCAAUGUUCCAGAAAGUUGUUCUAGAUACAGCAAAUUUUUGAAGUUGUUUGGGUUUUUGCACAUUCCCCAGCAUUUCAAAGAUUUUAAAAAGUUGAAGCAACUUAGGCCAUGGAAGUUAAGCAAAUCAUACAAGCUCAGACCAUUUGUUACUCAAAUCCAAGGCUCCAGACUUCUGCUUGGGUGUGUCAUUGCACUUCUUUAGGAAACCAAUAGUUUAUAACCUGGACAUAGUAAAAAUGUGUAAUUGUAAUCCUAGCCCUGUAGAUAUAAAGCUAGGUUAAAUUUAAAGCAAAGUUCAUUCGAAGUAAAAAUAGACUUUAAAAGUCAGGUGUUCUAAGCCUUCAUGGUAGAUUAUUGUUUUUCUAAAUUCUAGUUUUCUAUUUUAUAAAACUAGAAUCAUAGUAACAAUAUAUCACUGUAUCAUAAUAUUAUUUGUAAAGCACAUCGAUUAGGAGUCCUCAUAAAAAGUCCUUUGAAUUAUCUAUGAAAAAGGUCUAUAAUGUUAUCUAACUUAUAAUUUUAUGUCAGAAUUUUUUUUUAUUCUUUUCUGUUCGUUCUUACUCUUGGUGGCAUGAUUAGGGUUGUUUCAGUAGCAAUUGGCUAUUCUUUUAUGACCAGCAGAGUUAGGAAAGAGUACAAGAGAAAAAUAGCUGACAUAAGAAUCAAGCAUCUUUAAGUAAAGUAAGAAUUCUACGCCACUUCAAUUUUUCAGAAAAAAAAAUGCUAACAAGUGAUUUAUAUAUUCUGCAUUGGUAAUUGUUAUUGUUUUAUUUUAUAUUAUUUAUGUUUUUCUUAAUUUAAGACUCUUUUACUUCUGCAGGUAUGUUUUCUUUAAAUAAAGCAUCGAUUUUGGGAGUUCUUGUUUUCUUCAGAUUAAAAUCUAAAAAUGGUCUUUAUUCUGUAAUUUUAGUUUUUCUCAGUACCUGAAAAAAUUAAAUCCAAAUUUUAUAUUUCAGCAAUCAUUC